AUGCAGUCCACCUGAAUAUACACAGAGCUUGCCAGAGCUGUAUGCUUCCUACCAGACAGAGUAAACACAUGAGGAACAAAUGCUUUUCUUUCACAGACAAGGACAAGUAAAAGAUCACAAAGUCUUAAGGAAGGAGAUUAAAGCAAUCAAGAAGCACUAUCAAAGCUCUGCUCCUACUACCUGAGUUUUUGAGUUCUUAGCGGAUUUCAAGCUGCCAAUUUCUGAGCUUUCACAGCCUUUGAUGUGAUUCCAGCUUUCUAUGAUACAGGUUGUACUUCCUUAUGGGGCAUGCACACCUUUUAAGUCACAGUGGUAAACAAUGUCCUGAAGAACCUGGGGGAGAUCCAGGAGCAGGAAGAUGAAGAAAGCUUCCUAUGAGUACUAAGGAAGAACGACCAUUCUGUGAUGGGGCUAUGGGGACAUGGACAUACAUCCCUUUUCGGUGACUGUCACGCACUGCAAUGUAUUGUACCUCGAGCAGGAACUCAGCUAUUGUCCAACGUAAAGAUGGUUUUUUUUGCA
Long non-coding RNA from Chiroxiphia lanceolata (lance-tailed manakin), 522 nucleotides. RefSeq lists it as uncharacterized. Lineage: Eukaryota; Metazoa; Chordata; Aves; Passeriformes; Pipridae. The transcript has 3 exons. The record is from RefSeq and is a predicted model, not a curated record.